This 729-nucleotide long non-coding RNA is filed under the name Rattus norvegicus (Norway rat). Its description in RNAcentral is "long non-coding RNA NONRATT019164". Lineage: Eukaryota; Metazoa; Chordata; Mammalia; Rodentia; Muridae. The record is from RNAcentral.
AACCAAGCACCUCCAGGUCUCUACACAAAAACUCAGGACCCUGCCAAAGCACCCAACACCCCAGAUGUCCUUGAGAUAGAAUUCAAAAAAGGGGUCCCUGUGAAGGUGACCAACGUCAAAGAUGGCACUACCCACAGCACAUCCUUGGACCUCUUCAUGUACCUGAAUGAAGUUGCGUGAGUGCCCACAGACUGCCUGCCCCAUCCCCCACCCCGGAACUGCCACCUCAAGCAAACACAGGCCUGGACCUGUGUGACAAGUGGUCACAGCUGAAGUUCAUGACCUGGAGGUCUGGCAGUUUAGGCCCUGUAGACACAGAGUGCCCUGGGCCGAGGGUAUUGGUUUGUCAUUGGUAUUGGUUUAAAUCUACAACCCAGGAAGACAAAAGUUCCAAGUCUGCCGCCACCUCCCAUGGUCGGUCCGGCUGGGGCCACAGGCCUUUGGCCAAUUCAGGCAUCAGGACAAGAAAGAUAAGUCCUUGGUGAGGGCUAGAGCCAAGCAAGUCCCAGAAGCACAAGGAGCACACAGAACGACCCAGACAAUCCGUUCUCUUUCAGGCCCUUAGGUUACCCACCUGUCGGCUUGGGCCUGUUUUCCUGGCUCAGGUGUUCUGAGUCAUAGAGCCCGAGACAGGGUCAGUCAGUAUGCCCACAUAGGUUUCCCCUCAGCCAAGCCAUAGAAAGGCACCUGCUCAAUGGGUGGCCUCUGUCCUCCAGCCCUGUGGCAGCA